Molecule: ribosomal RNA, 370 nt
Filed under: uncultured organism
Description: bacterial SSU rRNA
Rfam family: Bacterial small subunit ribosomal RNA
Source: RNAcentral
CGUAGGGUGCGAGCGUUAAUCGGAAUUACUGGGCGUAAAGCGUGCGCAGGCGGUUUAGUAAGACAGGCGUGAAAUCCCCGGGCUCAACCUGGGAACUGCGCUUGUGACUGCUAAGCUAGAGUACGGCAGAGGGGGUGGAAUUCCACGUGUAGCAGUGAAAUGCGUAGAGAUGUGGAGGAACACCAAUGGCGAAGGCAGCCCCCUGGGUCGAUACUGACGCUCAUGCACGAAAGCGUGGGUAGCAAACAGGAUUAGAUACCCUGGUAGUCCACGCCCUAAACGAUGUCAACUAGGUGUUGGGAGGGUAAAACCUUUUAGUACCGGAGCUAACGCGUGAAGUUGACCGCCUGGGGAUACGGCCGCAAGAUUA